RNAcentral lists this ribosomal RNA (1013 nucleotides) under Stemonitis lignicola. Its description in RNAcentral is "SSU rRNA". The stretch from base 1 to 603 matches the Rfam family "Eukaryotic small subunit ribosomal RNA", at positions 59 to 594 of the family's 1831-position model. Lineage: Eukaryota; Evosea; Eumycetozoa; Stemonitida; Stemonitidae. The record is from RNAcentral.
UUCGGAAUGGGGGGCACACCUAGGUGUACGACUACGAGGAGUCAAUUCUCUCUGAAUCUGCGAACGGCUCCGCAAACCAGUUGUAAACCAUAGCAGGGCUCCGCCCGCGGCAUCCCUCCGGGGAGGCCGUGGGAUUUAUAUGGAUAUCCGUGGUAAUUCUGAGGCUAAUACAUGACACACCAACCCGCUUCGGGCGCAAGCCUGGGGUGGGGGACGUGCGAAAACACAGGCUGGGGUACCAAUACCACGACAGAGCGCACGUUCGGACCACCGCGAAGGGUGAUGGGCUUCGGCUCGGAUCCUGGUGGCCCCCGCAGCGGGCUUCUGACCUAUCAACUAGAUGGCAGCGUAACGGACAUGCUAUGGUGACAACGGGUACAGAGGAUUAGGGUUCGAUCCUGGAGAGUGGGCCUGAGAGAUUGCUCAUACUUCUAAGGAAGGCAGCAGGCGCGCAACGUUCCCCUUGGGCAUCGCUCGAGGGCGUUAUGGGAAAUAUGAAUGGCUGCCUUUACGGUGGCCAAUUCAAAUGGGACUGUUUUAAACAGGCUAUCGAGUAACAAUUAGAGGACAAGUCUGGUGCCAGCACCCGCGAAAUUGCUCCGCGGAAAAAGUGCAGGAAAAACCCUGUGCUAGUCGAGUCCCCCAAGGGCAUGUGGGGGAGCCACUCGGCGACAUCGUCAAAUUGCGGGAAGUUCCUAAAGCCACUGCUACCAACCACGCGCCGAAAGGUGAUAAAAUGCGGGCGUUUGUACCUCUGUAUAGGGGGAGUCGCGCACGUGGGGCCAGGGUAAUGACCUCGGGUAUGGUAACAACGCAGGGAUCGGUGAUCCAGGGGGGAUGGGUUCGGCAACCCUAUCAACCCCCUGUUUCUAUACCAAUGGAUAAUCCGCAGCAAGUCCGGCGGCACUUGCUCUCUCCCCUGCUAGGGGAAGACCUGAGGCACGGAUGCAGUUCAGAGACUAAAUGCGAUGGGCGUGGAAGCGCCUGGGUGACGGCUCGCCGGCUAUCUCCAG